Molecule: ribosomal RNA, 828 nt
Filed under: uncultured bacterium
Lineage: Bacteria
Description: bacterial SSU rRNA
Rfam family: Bacterial small subunit ribosomal RNA
Source: RNAcentral
AGAGGUCGAUUCUGGCUCAGAACGAACGCUGGCGGCGUGCCUAACACAUGCAAGUCGUACGAGAAAAUCCGCUUCGGCGGGUGAGUAGAGUGGCGCACGGGUGAGUAACGCGUGGAUAAUCUGCCUUUAAGCUGGGAAUAACUCACCGAAAGGUGGGCUAAUACCCGAUAAUGCUAUGGGACUUCGGUUUUAUAGCCAAAGAGAGCCUCUACAUGUAAGCCUUCACUUAAAGAUGAGUCCGCGUACCAUUAGCUAGUUGGUAGGGUAAUGGCCUACCAAGGCGACGAUGGUUAGCUGGUCUGAGAGGAUGAUCAGCCACACUGGAACUGAGACACGGUCCAGACUCCUACGGGAGGCAGCAGUGAGGAAUAUUGCGCAAUGGGGGCAACCCUGACGCAGCAACGCCGCGUGAGUGAGGAAGGUCUUCGGAUCGUAAAGCUCUGUCGGGUGGGAAGAAGUGUGCAUAGGUUAAUAGCUUGUGCACUUGACGGUACCGCCAAAGGAAGCACCGGCUAACUCCGUGCCAGCAGCCGCGGUAAUACGGGGGGUGCGAGCGUUGUUCGGAAUCAUUGGGCGUAAAGAGCGUGUAGGCGGCUAGGCAAGUCAGAUGUGAAAUCCCUGGGCUUAACCCAGGAAGUGCAUUUGAAACCGCUUAGCUUGAGUAAGGAAGAGGGAAGUGGAAUUCCUGGUGUAGAGGUGAAAUUCGUAGAUAUCAGGAGGAACACCGGUGGCGAAGGCGACUUCCUGGUCCUAUACUGACGCUGAGACGCGAGAGCGUGGGGAGCAAACAGGAUUAGAUACCCUGGUAGUCCACGCCGUAAACGAUGU